This 254-nucleotide ribosomal RNA is filed under the name uncultured bacterium. RNAcentral describes it as "partial 16S ribosomal RNA". It matches the Rfam family "Bacterial small subunit ribosomal RNA", at positions 524 to 776 of the family's 1533-position model. The record is from RNAcentral.
CACGUAGGGGGCAAGCGUUGUCCGGAUUUAUUGGGCGUAAAGAGCUCGUAGGCGGCUCAGUAAGUCGGAUGUGAAAACUCAGGGCUCAACCCUGAGACGCCAUCCGAUACUGCUGUGGCUUGAAUCUGGUAGGGGAGCACGGAAUUCCUGGUGUAGCGGUGAAAUGCGCAGAUAUCAGGAGGAACACCGGCGGCGAAGGCGGUGCUCUGGGCCAGUAUUGACGCUGAGGAGCGAAAGCGUGGGUAGCAAACAGG